Populus trichocarpa (black cottonwood) is the source of this 879-nucleotide long non-coding RNA. RefSeq lists it as uncharacterized. NCBI's taxonomy places the organism in Eukaryota, Viridiplantae, Streptophyta, Magnoliopsida, Malpighiales, Salicaceae. The transcript is spliced from 2 exons. The record is from RefSeq and is a predicted model, not a curated record.
UACACAAGCUAAAACAAAUUACAAUAUUAAAACAUUAUAAAUACAAACAUAAAAUGAAAAAAAAAAAAAAGGACAAACCCAAAUCCAAACCCAACGUCAUUUUUUCAGUCCACAAGGACACUGAAUCUAACAUCACAGUAAUUGAAACAGUUUUAUCAUUCUAUUUUAUUUUUUUCACUCUAGACUUUAAUUUCAGUGCUCAAUGCAGAAUUUGUACCACUGCCAAAGUAGAAAAGAGACAAGCACAAAAGAAAAAACAAAAGGAGAAGGAGGAAGAAGAAAAGGUGGAUUUCAUAUAGGAAGACUCAAACACAAGCAGAACCCAUGCUGCCUCGAGUUUCUUGCGCCGUCCAUUAAGUUAUAUCUAUCCGAAAACUGAGAUGUGGAUUGGAUUAAACAAGUGUGCUCAGCUCAUGAAUCAGCUGACUCACUGUUGCGAGCGCAGCACAAAUCAUCACUCUCCUCCGACGCCUCCAAAUCCCUUGACAGGACACUACAACAUGUAUCAAACUGCUUGUCUUAUCGCUCUGUUCCAUAUCCGGUCGUGUAUGGGACCAAACGCUUGCCUUUUUCUUUUGUGUAUUUUCGACAGCGAGCGAGAGAGAUAAGGGAGAAGAAAUGCGAGCAUGAGAAAAGGACGCAAAUGGGAUCUGUACAUUGAUGCUUGGAAUGAAAACAACCUUUUACUUGGUCUCACUUUCAAAUGGAUUGUUAAGGUAAACUCUUCUCUAAUGGCUACCUAGCUAGCUACUCUCGAAGGCCUAGCCUUGUUUGUUAGCAGUUGAAUCUGCUCCCUUCAUUAUGAUUUAAGUGAAUCGUUUUUCAAAGAUUUGAUGGGCAAAGACUUAGUUUUAAUUAAUCCAUAAAAAUUAAUCUUAA